RNAcentral lists this long non-coding RNA (1693 nucleotides) under Theobroma cacao (cacao). RNAcentral describes it as "long non-coding RNA (TCAC_LNC001490)". Lineage: Eukaryota; Viridiplantae; Streptophyta; Magnoliopsida; Malvales; Malvaceae. The record is from RNAcentral.
CGGCUGCUUGCACCUAUCUAAUUGGAUGGUUUCGCAAAUGGUGCUGCAACUGUUUGCAUCUGAUAACUGUUGACAUAAAAGAAUAUUAAAUAGGGUUGGGGGGUUUCCUUUUUCUUUGAGAGCAAGAGCUGGGGGCAAGAAAAAGCUAGCACCAUGGGUUUCGUGAUAAUAUAAUUCUCCCCUUAGAGAGAGAGAGAGAGAAGGAAAGCAUCAAACAUCAAAGUCUCUCUCUCCGUAGACUGAGAGAGAGGAGAGAGGGCAGGGCACGCAAUACCUUGGAUUUUUUUUCUUCAUAUCCAUUCAACAGCAAUCAUCAUGCCCUCCUCCUCCUCCUCCUCCCCACCUCUGACUCUUCAAUACCAUCAUCAUUACCCCCUCACCACCACUACUCAUGAUCAUCCCCUCCCCCUUUUCAAUAUCCACCAACUUCACAUCCCAAGACCAAAAGCAAACCAACAGCAACAAGACGACCAAGAAGAAGAAGAAGGUCAAGAAGAAGAAGAAGAAGAAGAAGAAGAAGAAGAAGAAGAAGAAACGAGCAGCAGGAUUAAUUUCUUACAAGCCGAUCAUGACAAACUCUUUUACUAGUAUAUUUUAUGAGUGAAAGGGUCUCUUUUUCCAAAGGAUCCAACAACUCUACGGGGAAUCAAGCUUCUCGGUCCGAUCAUUUGCUAGAUCAAAGCAAAUCACACAAGUUUUGUCUACAAUGGGGUUUCUUCCUUUUUCAUCACUUCGGUCCAUCACUCAGUAAAACUGGUACAAUAGCUAUAUAGGUAGCUUUCCUUUUGCACAUGGACUCUCUACCUUUUAUAUUCUAGGUAUGGUUUCGAGACCAUUUAUGAAAGAAGAAGAAGAAGAAGAUGCUGAUUGUAUGUGCUUAAAUUUUUUUUUCUUUUUGUGUUCGUUAUUUUCUUUCUAGAUCUCUAAAUUUUCCCAAACAUGUUUCCGUGGUCUUCUCUUGAUUUUUGUUUGUUUGGUGCAAUGAUAUUUAUGAUGGAAGGAACUUGUUGUUUGAUAUACAAUAUAAUUAUUCUUCAUGACAGAUAUAUGCAAUAAGUAUUCCUCCUGCCAUAUUUGUUCUUGGAAACCUGACCAAAACCGUAUAACUUUGCCAGAGUUCCCGUCUUAGACGACUGAGAAACUCCAUAGUCCUUGUCACCAUCCUCCCUGCAAUCCUAGGUACAACAAUAUUCCUCAAUGCUCAAACUAGGGUUUGCUAACUAUCUAUGUAUAUUCAUACCUUCAUAUGUGUAUAUACACAUAAAUAUAUAUCAUAGGGGAUAUAAAUUUGCGUAUUAACCGAAAGCUAAAGAGAUAAAGCUGUCAAGUAUUCCUAAUUUUCACUUCCCUUCAAUUAAAUGAUCGUAUUCAAGUUCAAUUCCUUUUUCACCAGAUUAAACAUGUGAUGGUCAAGCAAAAUGAGAUCCAUGGUGAAGCCAUUAUCGGAUGCAUCAUGCACAUAUGAAAGAUGCCUUAGCCUUAGUCUAAGCCUAGGCGUGUUGUUGAGAUAUGGUUGUGAUCUUCCAUGAGAUAUGUUGGUGUAAAGAAAUCGUACAUGAGAAUUUAUGAUUAAGAGAGAAGCGAUCAGAGAACUUUAAUGUUUUACAUUUCUAUGGAAUUGGCAGACAAGGGUUAAUAAGAAGUUUGGGAGUAGAAAUAUAUAUAUAUGUGUUGCCUGCAUAUUUUCAAUAGG